This is a long non-coding RNA of Papio anubis (olive baboon), 2495 nucleotides long. NCBI's taxonomy places the organism in Eukaryota, Metazoa, Chordata, Mammalia, Primates, Cercopithecidae. The record is from Ensembl.
GUAAGCAUGAGAUGGGAAGAGUAUCCCAGACAAGAAGCCAUCAUAAAGCAAGAACUAGCAUGGCGCAUUGGAAGAUCAGAAAUUGACCCUGCAUCUUAACGGAACUUUACAAUCAGAGUUAUGUUUACUUCAUCCUUCAAGUGUUCUUCACAAUUCUUCCGUUAUUUAAUUUCUUAAAAAUAGGACUUGCAAGUUAAAGAAAAUCAUGCCAUCUUUCCACUCAGAUAGGAAAGGAGGUGGUAGAUAAGUAAUGUUAAAUGAUACAUGUCAGGUAUCCCUCUCAGCACUUAUAGAUACUAUGGGUACAUGCCCUAGCUCUUCUUUUGUGAGCAAACCAUUUGUACCCACUUAAAUAUAGGUUUGCUAUUUUGUUGUGGAUUACUUCAAAUAUCUAAUGAAAAUCAUCUGACUUGGAGGCCAAAACAAAGCUGAUCUGAGAGCGUGUGUUGGAGCAGAAUAAUAAUGUACUGUUCAGAAUUCAGUCAAAGCUUCCUCAUGUCCUUCUGCACAUCACAUGCAGGAUACAGGAACUGGGAGACAGCUGACUAAGCAUGAAAAGAUCACUUUUAGAGUCUCCAUUACCGCCUCUCCCUCCAGCCCCAAGCACUGUAGAAGCACAGACGAGAGAGGAGAGUUAUGGAUUGAGAGAACAAGGAGCAUGAGGCUACACUGCUACAGGCAGCCAUCUCUGAAUUGAGAAGGAAGCCGGCCUUAAAGCUCAGCUGGCAGAAGGAGGAAAAGCAGCAGGAAUUACAGAAACGUGGAGUCAUGUCCUGAUCAUAUUUGAAGCUCACUCCCUCUGCUUUCUGCAUUUUCAACCGUGUGCUGUGAUACAAUUUCCUUCCCUGAUGGUCCCAGUGCUGCCCCAUUCCUCACUUCAUGCCACUCAAUCAAGACCAUUCCUUAUGUGAAGAUCAAAUGGAUUUUCUUUUUUAAAGAAAACUGUUCAGAUGGUUAAAACCAUGCUGAAUUUUAGAUUCAUAUUCAUCAGAUUCAUAGUUUUCUUCUAUAGCAUUUUCCUCCCCUGGAGUUUCUGAUUGCUUUGCCUUUCCACUCAUGAGAUAAAACAUAGACUUUUCCCAUCCUAUUCCUAAUAAUGCAAUUUCCGGUUUAUUUUGUAUUUUUGUAAAAUCCUUUUCUUCUUCCUGAAGAUAUUUUAGUUGGAGCCUACUGAUUUACUGAUCUCAUGCCCUGGUCAACUCGCCAAAUAUUCAAAUUAUUGAAUAGCCGAUAUUCAGGGAAUUUUGUUCCUUCUCUUAAGGCUUAAUAUUUGUUCUUGUCUUGCCCAUCUUGGCCUUGCUUUCACUCUUAACAUUUUAUAAAGGAAUAAAUAAAUGGACUUUCCCAUUAACACUAUUUACUGGCCUUUCUAUUUGUGUGAACUUAUGUCCUGCCCCUUUCAGACCAAGGCAUCAGAGGGGAAGAACGUAAGUCAGCAAAAACACCCCCAGUGAAUUGUAUUUAAGGGAGAUUACACCCAAUCAAGUAAAGAGUCAGUGGUUGGAGCACAUUAAAAGUUUCAAAGAAAUUCUCAGUUGUUCGGCAAAUUAUCCCUCUGGUGAUUUUGUCUGCUUCUACUUUCAGCCCACUUUCUUGGGAUUUCUCUUCAUGGGGCCUGUGGGUUAUCUCGUUUGCUUCUUGGUGUCAUUUCUUAUUUUUGGUGCUCAUAUUUAUUUUCCUGGAGUUCAACAACUCUAAGUAUCUUCUUCAAAAAGGGUUCCAGAGAAGCGACAUUUUAAGAUGUUGUCUUUCUGAAAAGAACUUUAUUUUGCCCUCACAAUCAAUGUAAAAAUUGGCCAGGUUUAGAAUUUUAGGUUCUAAAUCAUUUUUACCUCCAAAGUUUGAGGCAUGGAAUCCACCUUUUAUUAUAUACUGAUUCUGAUUUUUAAAAAAUCUGAUGGCAAUCUGAUUUACAUUUCUAGAGAUCCCAUUCUUCAAGAAUUCCUUUGCUGUCAUAUCUGCCAACUUCUUUAUUCUGGCUCCUUUCACUCUUAGCAGUUGCUAAUAUGAGUUUAGGGGGGAAAAGGAGACAAAUGCUGACAUUUUGAAAUACCAGCUUCUCCUGAUUUUCCAUAAUUAAGUCAUGUCCUUUGGUUUACGUAGUGUAUAAUAGUAUAUAAAUGUCUACAUCAAAUAAUAGAUUAUGUGACAUUGGAGGGAAAAUUAGGUAGCUUUGGAUCAAUCCAAUUGGAUCAAUUUUAAGGUAGGUUGUCUUCAGAGAAAAACUGAAGCAAAAAGGAACUGAGAAAUGAAAGAAGAGUUAACCUUUGCGUUAGCAAAGACACUAAGGAGAAGUAAGUUGAAGUGAAGCCAAGUCAAGCAGUAAUCUUGUGGUGCUUCUGUUCUGAUCAAUAUUUAUGUCAGUCCCUGGCUGAACAUUAAUUGCAUUGGUCCUUGAGGGAAAUAUACAUAGAACUGGAAAGAAGUGAAUUUUGAAUAUAAGUUAUUUUUUAUUUUAUAAAUUGCUCCAUCCAGAUAAUUUUCCUGAUCUGAGC